GACGAACGCUGGCGGCGUGCUUAACACAUGCGAGUCGAACGGAAAGGCCUUUUCGGAGGUACUCGAGUGGCGAACGGGUGAGUAACACGUGGGUGAUCUGCCCUGCACUCUGGGAUAAGCCUGGGAAACUGGGUCUAAUACCGGAUAGGACCGCACUUUAGUGUGUGUGGUGGAAAGUUUUUUCGGUGUAGGAUGAGCCCGCGGCCUAUCAGCUUGUUGGUGGGGUAAUGGCCUACCAAGGCGGCGACGGGUAGCCGGACUGAGAGGUUGGUCGGCCACAUUGGGACUGAGAUACGGCCCAGACGCCUACGGGAGGCAGCAGUGGGGAAUAUUGCACAAUGGGCGCAAGCCUGAUGCAGCGACGCCGCGUGGGGGAUGACGGCCUUCGGGUUGUAAACUCCUUUCGCCAGGGACGAAGCGUUUUGUGACGGUACCUGGAGAAGAAGCACCGGCUAACUACGUG
This 463-nucleotide ribosomal RNA is filed under the name uncultured bacterium. RNAcentral describes it as "partial 16S ribosomal RNA". It matches the Rfam family "Bacterial small subunit ribosomal RNA", at positions 28 to 507 of the family's 1533-position model. The record is from RNAcentral.